RNAcentral lists this ribosomal RNA (311 nucleotides) under Lacunicambarus aff. diogenes 209 MGG-2018. RNAcentral describes it as "partial small subunit ribosomal RNA". Lineage: Eukaryota; Metazoa; Arthropoda; Malacostraca; Decapoda; Cambaridae. The record is from RNAcentral.
AUACCCUAGUACACUUAAAUUUAAUUAGUAACAUUAGAAUAUUAAAAGUUAUGUUCUUUAAAUUUAAAAAAUUUGGCGGUGUUUUAGUCUAGUUAGAGGAACCUGUGUUAUAAACGAUACAACACGCAUUAUUUUACUUACUUUAGUAGAUCAGCUUGUAUACCGUCAUUAUAAGAUAAUUUAGGAGAGAAUAUUAUUGAGAUCAUAUUAUUGAGUAUAUUAGAUCAAGGUGCAGCUUAUGGGUAAGUAAACAUGGGUUACAAUAAAAUUUAUUUAAUAUGAAUUAAGUGUUUAAACAUGUUUAUGAAGGA